Molecule: long non-coding RNA, 2143 nt
Organism: Acipenser ruthenus (sterlet)
Lineage: Eukaryota; Metazoa; Chordata; Actinopteri; Acipenseriformes; Acipenseridae
Exons: 2
Source: RefSeq, a predicted model, not a curated record
CCUUGUGCUCCGUCCUUCGGAUGAGACGUCAAACAAACGAGCUCCUAUUGGAAGUGACUCUGCAGCAGCAGCAGCAGCAGCAGUUGUUGAUGAUGCAGAGUUCACCCCCCCCCCUAGUCUCUGUAAGUCGCUUUGGAUAAAAGCAAUCUGCUGAAUCACUAAUUAUUAUUAUUAUUAUUAUUAUUAUUGUUAACUGCACAAUAGCAAACUUUGACAAAACUAUUGGCUAGCUCUUUGAUCAAAACAGCUGUUUUGCGACUUCUUUAACCCAACGGCAGAUCAAACAGCGACCCGUUCUGUGGCUGUGCAACUGAUUUUAAACAAGCCUGCGUGAAAGAGGACGCACGUUAAUUCUGAUUUGAUUUCUUUGUGUUUUUUUUUUUUGGCGGGAGGGUUAGUAUUUGUAAAACAAAUUUAUAAAAUACAUGUUCAAUUCUACAGUACAUCAUCCCAGCUUGGAUAUCUUGAAUCUGAGCUUCUGUAAGAUUUUAAAAUAAACCUCAAACUACUGCCUCUAGCGAAGGCUGGCAAACUCCUAAAGCAAAUCUCAGAAAAAAGUCCAGAUUUUUGUUUCAACCAGACCCUUAAUAAUACUUGAAGACCCUCUCUGUCGAUUUUUAGUUGGUCUUUAUAAUGGGUGUUAAUUGAUGUUUUAAAAUACAGUAAAAAUCUCCAUCCUCUGCUUGCCGAGUUGAACCCGAAGCCUCUUUUUCAGGAGCUUGAAAGCUGGUUCCAGGAGACCCCCGGGAGACCUAGUUUGAGGUUUGCUGUAUCAAACCCCCCCCAAGUCUCCCUGCCUGGUGUGCCGCACAGCGGCCUGAAACCUACAGUCUCCUGAAACCCGAAGCUCCAAGCCGCACAGAUCCCUCGGCUUAAUAAUAAAGAAAAACACUGUCCCAUAAAACAGCCCCAGUUUUCUUUUCUGAACGUCUGGACGUAGUUUUAUUAAAACACAGCACAAUGCUGUCCCAGUCACCUUUUGAAGGAGGACAAGAACUUCAGAGGUUUGGAAAAAGCCCUGAAACACGCUUUUAUCUUUUCUUGGCUGCUGGAAAAUAGGCUAUAGAGAAAUGUUUGAAAGAAACCGCUAAGCUGUGUGGGUGUUUAGGGUUGGUUUGUAAAGUGGAGUAAAAUGGAUUUGUGUGUUUUGUUGUUAAAGGGUUUAGGGUGGAGAGAACGAGUCUUUAAGCCUGUGUUUUUUUGUUGUUUUUUUUUUAAAUUUUGUUGCACGUUGUAUUAUCUCCUGCUCCUGACAUUGCUGAGAAAUACAAAAAUAUUAAAAAAAAAAACACUGUCUGUAAAUAAAUACAGAGUUAAAAACAGAUGUAGAGUUUACAGAGAAAGCCAAGCACGAAGGAUUUCUUUAAAGGGUUCGGUGGUUUCAUUCAAUGAGAGUGACUCUUAUAUAUAUAGACCCUAAAUGAGGGGUCACCACCCCUGGUCCGGGAGAGCCCCUAUACCAGCAGGUUUUAUAGCUGUCAUUACAUCAUCAGUGGCUAAAGAUCUGGAAGAUCUGGACUAAUUAAGCCAGUAAUUGGUUCAAUUAAGUAACAGAGAUUGGUUGAAAUGAAAACCAGCAGCCCCAGUUGGAGAGUCCUGCCCUGGAUCCACUCCAGGAGGUUUAGCAGGUAAAACGAGAUCAUGAAGGACUUCAGGGUCCGGACUGAGGUUUAUUGAAUUGGUUUAGAACAGGGUUUGGAACAACAGGCCAGCCCUGCCUUCGGUAGCCCAAUUUGAAGAAGCAGACCCCGCUCUGAAAAGGAAUCCUUGCGCUGUGUAAAUGUAUUAUUGCUUGUGAAAUGAAAGUGGACGCUAGAUAGGAAAGAUUGCGUCACAGCCCGAUUCUCAGACCCGCCCCCUGGCUGCAUUACCUCAUCGUUUAGAAUGCGCGGAGGGACGUUGAGUUCCAUGCGUUCUAAACGAUGGGAUAGUGCAGUCCCGCUUGUCAACACCAGGGGGCAAUGAAUGCUAGAGAAUUGAAGGGACUGUCAGUUUAGCUCUUGAAAUGAUAUGGGACGUUUUGUAAAGAGUGGAAAUUGAAUGUGUUUGUUUUCGGGGAUGGUUUUUGUACAGUAUCUUGAGAUAUUAUUAUGCUUCUGAUCCCAGCCACGUUUGUAAAUAGAAAUAUACUCUUUUGAUUAUA